RNAcentral lists this ribosomal RNA (494 nucleotides) under uncultured bacterium. Its description in RNAcentral is "partial 16S ribosomal RNA". It matches the Rfam family "Bacterial small subunit ribosomal RNA", at positions 28 to 507 of the family's 1533-position model. The record is from RNAcentral.
GACGAACGCUGGCGGCGUGCUUAACACAUGCAAGUCGAACGGUGAAGCGCCUUCCUUUUUGGUGGGUGUGGAUGAGUGGCGAACGGGUGAGUAACACGUGAGUAACCUGCCCCCUUCUUCUGGAUAACCGCAUGAAAGUGUGGCUAAUACGGGAUAUUCUGGGUCUGUCGCAUGAUGGGUCUGGGAAAGAUAUUGUUUCGGUGGGGGAUGGGCUCGCGGCCUAUCAGCUUGUUGGUGGGGUGAUGGCCUACCAAGGCGGUGACGGGUAGCCGGCCUGAGAGGGUGGACGGUCACACUGGGACUGAGACACGGCCCAGACUCCUACGGGAGGCAGCAGUGGGGAAUAUUGCACAAUGGGCGCAAGCCUGAUGCAGCGACGCCGCGUGAGGGAUGGAGGCUUGCGGGUUGUGAACCUCUUUCGCCAGUGAAGCAGGCCUGCCUCGUUUGUGGGUGGGUUGACGGUAGCUGGAUAAGAAGCGCCGGCUAACUACGUG